GCCGGGUGUGGUAGCGUGCGCCUGUAAUCCCAGCUACUGAGGAGGCUGAGGCUGGAGAAUCACUUGCACCCAGGAGGCAGAGGUUGCAGUGAGCCAAGAUUGCACCACUGCACUCCAGCCUGGGUGACAGAGUGAGACUCUGUCUCAA
Non-coding RNA from Gorilla gorilla gorilla (western lowland gorilla), 148 nucleotides. It matches the Rfam family "Metazoan signal recognition particle RNA". Rfam says of the family: The signal recognition particle (SRP) is a universally conserved ribonucleoprotein. The record is from Rfam. NCBI's taxonomy places the organism in Eukaryota, Metazoa, Chordata, Mammalia, Primates, Hominidae.